UGGGUUCAAAGGUAGUGGAGGAACAAAUUGUCCUCCGGAUGCCAUUGACGGCAGAUGUACUUGCACAUUGCCAAGCAGCUCCUGAUCAUUAAAGAAAGAAUGAUCAGCAAAUUUUUCAUUUAACAUGUUUUGAAAAUCUGACCAAAGUAAGCAUCCACGUAGAUAAAACAUUUUAAAUACCAAUUUUGAACAAUAAGGUUUA
RNAcentral lists this long non-coding RNA (202 nucleotides) under Daucus carota (carrot). RNAcentral's name for it is "long non-coding RNA (DCAR_LNC007598)". The record is from RNAcentral. Lineage: Eukaryota; Viridiplantae; Streptophyta; Magnoliopsida; Apiales; Apiaceae.